RNAcentral lists this ribosomal RNA (491 nucleotides) under uncultured bacterium. Its description in RNAcentral is "partial 16S ribosomal RNA". It matches the Rfam family "Bacterial small subunit ribosomal RNA", at positions 28 to 507 of the family's 1533-position model. The record is from RNAcentral.
GAUGAACGCUGGCUACAGGCUUAACACAUGCAAGUCGAGGGGAAACGACGGGGAAGCUUGCUUCCCCGGGCGUCGACCGGCGCACGGGUGAGUAACGCGUAUCCAACCUGCCUCUGACUGAGGGAUAACCCGUCGAAAGUCGGCCUAAUACCUCAUGGCAUCGUCUGCGGGCAUCCAACGACGAUUAAAGAUUUCAUCGGUCAGAGAUGGGGAUGCGUCUGAUUAGCUUGUUGGCGGGGUAACGGCCCACCAAGGCGACGAUCAGUAGGGGUUCUGAGAGGAAGGUCCCCCACAUUGGGACUGAGACACGGUCCAAACUCCUACGGGAGGCAGCAGUGAGGAAUAUUGGUCAAUGGGCGAGAGCCUGAACCAGCCAAGUAGCGUGCAGGAUGACGGCCCUAUGGGUGGUAAACUGCUUUUAUGCGGGGAUAAAGUGAGGGACGUGUCCUUCAUUGCAGGUACCGCAUGAAUAAGGACCGGCUAAUUCCGUG